This 235-nucleotide ribosomal RNA is filed under the name uncultured bacterium. Its description in RNAcentral is "partial 16S ribosomal RNA". It matches the Rfam family "Bacterial small subunit ribosomal RNA", at positions 96 to 334 of the family's 1533-position model. The record is from RNAcentral.
UGGCGGACGGGUGAGUAAUGUCUGGGAAACUGCCCGAUGGAGGGGGAUAACUACUGGAAACGGUAGCUAAUACCGCAUAACGUCGCAAGACCAAAGAGGGGGACCUUCGGGCCUCUUGCCAUCGGAUGUGCCCAGAUGGGAUUAGCUAGUAGGUGGGGUAACGGCUCACCUAGGCGACGAUCCCUAGCUGGUCUGAGAGGGUGACCGGCCACACUGGAACUGAGACACGGUCCAG